GCGCCCGUAGCCUAACGGAUAGGGCAACAGCCUCCGGAGCUGUUUGUGUGGGUUCAAUUCCCACCGGGCGCGCCA
RNAcentral lists this transfer RNA (75 nucleotides) under Candidatus Omnitrophota bacterium. RNAcentral's name for it is "tRNA-Arg". It matches the Rfam family "tRNA". From Rfam's summary of the family: Transfer RNA (tRNA) molecules are approximately 80 nucleotides in length. Lineage: Bacteria; Pseudomonadati; Candidatus Omnitrophota. The record is from RNAcentral.